UGCAGAUACCAGGAAAAAAGCAAACCUAGUGAGGGUGUGAUUGCUCUGUGCUGGUCUGAAACCUCAAGUUACAGAAGCCCAGUGGGAAGAGAGAAAGAGUUAAAUGGAUGCUUGGGAGGCAUGUUGGCUGGAGCUGGCUGAAUAGAUUUUUAUUAGGUGCUGAAGAUGUCUUCCUCUGGACUCACCUUGGUUGCUCCCCCUCCUCGAUGAAUCUUUUCCUUUAAGUCACUUUAGGAAGCAGCAGGAAUUCUCCUGCAAGAGAUGAGGAUUCAUGUCAGGAUGACACUGCUGAGGGUUCACAGUACAUCAACACAGCUGCUGUUUCUGUUGUCAGACAAUCCUCUACACAUUGUGAAUCUGUCAUGAGAAGAGGCCUUACCCCAUUCAUUGUCUUAGGAAACAGUUCUGCUGGCUUCAGAAACAUCAAAAUAAGCUGUGUUUUCUAGAUUUUUGGUUCUUCUCAGAGCUCCAUCUAGCAGCAGUCUGUCCUGUCACUUAACAACUUUCUGGAAGUCAUGUGCUCAACACUGGACCCUGGUACUUUAGCUGAAGCUUUACCCUGGCUACUGAUGGCUCUUGCAGUCCCUCUUGCAGGGCUGUUUUCAUCACACACGGCAAUGACUGCUUUCAACAUUUAAUUACCUGCCAGCCUCAAACAACACCCUCUUUCUUCGCAUUAGAAAUGGAAACACGUCCUCUGCAGGAAUUUUCCACUUAAUAGCUCCUGCUUUCCUACCGGGGGCCUCAGUGCACCACCACUGCAAUGCUGUAUUUCUUUCCACUGCAGUUUGACAUUUUGCAGCCAGAACAAGGAACGGCAUUCACUCCAUCCUGAUUUUUGAAAAACAUAUCUCUAUAGGCCCACAGAAUGCACCCAGUGCAGCAAUCACCAGGGGAAAAUGGCAAAGGUAUUUAAACAUCAUUACAUGUCACCAAGACUAUGACACUGUCUGGUAAAAAUGCUCAUUUAUACAAUUGCUUUUCCUUACUCCCCAUUCCUCCCCCCUCCAACCCUUUAUAGACACACACAGACACCAAACCUCUGCCCUGCUCUCCCAUCACCAGCCACUCUCUCAUUUUACACUUGCUUGUAAUUGUUUGCCUUUGUGAAUUAUUUCCUUUGCAUAAUAGUUGCAAGCUAUGUAUCAGGUCCUGACACUGUGAGGAGCAGAAAUGCACAUUGCAGGUAAUCAGAGCAGUAAACAAGGAGCCUGCUUUAAAAUGCGCCGAGUGACCUGUCUGAAGGCAGCAAUAUUUGCAGAUUGUUUACUGCUGAGAUCCAGUGAUGUCGCUGAAAUGCAGCAGCUUGAAGAUUGGAGCAAAAUGGGAUCUCAGGCACUCGGUCAAGCACAACCUGUAAUUUUUUUAUUUAUUGUUCAUGUUCUGCUUUUUUUAAAGUUAGAGCUGUAUUAUAAAUUAUUAAAAGCUG
Poecile atricapillus (Black-capped chickadee) is the source of this 1429-nucleotide long non-coding RNA. RefSeq lists it as uncharacterized. The record is from RefSeq and is a predicted model, not a curated record. The transcript is spliced from 6 exons. NCBI's taxonomy places the organism in Eukaryota, Metazoa, Chordata, Aves, Passeriformes, Paridae.